Molecule: long non-coding RNA, 2303 nt
Organism: Raphanus sativus (radish)
Lineage: Eukaryota; Viridiplantae; Streptophyta; Magnoliopsida; Brassicales; Brassicaceae
Exons: 9
Source: RefSeq, a predicted model, not a curated record
UAAAUCAAUAGAUGAGACGCAACAUAAUUUUCCCUUAUAACUUUUCAAAGACGGCAACGAAAGUGUUUUUAAUACGAGAUUCUCUAAAAAACAAAAAUAUUUUAUAAGAAAACUCUAAAAUUCAUCUUCUCUCUCUAAACCCUCCGACUUCUCUGUAGAACUAUCAAAUAUCGAUCUCGUCUUCCCACUCCGGCGGCUUCUGUAGAGCCGGCAAUUAGGUAUUACAAAAGGGUUGAUCAUAAUGAUCUAUAUAACUUACAACAUCAACUCCCUGUUCUCUGUUUUAAACCACAAAACUCUCCAAUAAACAAACUUGGGACCCAAGAAAACUCCACCAUGUUAUAUCUAUUUAUAUAAAAUAGACUUUCAAUCACUCCUAGGCUAUCCACAUAGGAUGCCAUGUCAUAAACUCGAGUUUCCUGGCGCUGACACGUGUCCCAGAAGGUGAAACACAUCGUUUCAUUUAUUCUCCAGUGCGAUGGGCUUUUACCGUCUGGUAUCAUGUUUUGGCUCAAGCUUUGAUGGUUUAUGCGGCCCGAGCAGAUUGAAUCGUCUCUAACCCUAAUUAGUAACUGCGCGAAGAAAUGGAGAUGGUGUCGUCUCUCCUCUAAACUCAAGUCUGUUUCUCCGACAUGUUUCUCCGUUGAAGUCUCAUGGGCUCUUCGAUCUCCAGUGCUGCUUCUCACGCCGUCGAGGACCUGUCUUGAUACCACUGUGUCUGUCUCCGCUACUGCACCUCCGACUACUCCACGCUGUGUCCAUUCCGGUACAACAAAUGCUGAGACAGAAGCAUUUCUAUCGGAGCUGAAAGAGGAAAUAGAAGUUUUGUUGCAUAAUCUGAAAGCCUCAAAGAAUAAAACGCAAGAAUUGUUGUUACAUCUUUCAACUUCAGAGACUGAAAGCAAAGAGAACUAUGAAAAGCUACAGGCUGAUGCGCAGAGAGGCUGAAGAAAUGGAGAUUUUGCAGAAGGAUAGCGAUAGCAACCAGCUGCGUCUGGAUUCAUUCAAAAGAGGUGAACCAGCUCUAAUGCGUUAUUGAAGAGAAAGAGCUUCUUAUUAAUCAAUGCAAGGAAACGAGAAGAAAUUGGAUCAGAAAACAACAGAGGAUAAGGAGGUACUAGCAGCUGCUGAAACCAUGCUUCUAGACGCGAAGAAGCAAUAUGAUCUGAUGCUUCUAAACAGUUGGAAUUAUCUAGGCACUUGAAGGAGUUAUCUCAGAGGAAUGACAAGGCGGUUAAUCAAAUCCGGAGGAAGUAUGAUGAGGAGAAGCAGGAGAAAUGCUUCUCUGGUAUAGUAAUCUUCACUUUCUCAACAUCAACGAGCAUAAAUAAGCUUAUACAUGUGUGUAGUAGCAGAAGAUGCACAUACGAGAACCAAAAUACACACUAUCCGGGAGGAACACGAGAACAGGGAGUUCAAUCUCAAAGCUAAGCACGAUGAGGAACUGAGGCAAGCUCAAUUUCAGGCUGAAAUUGAAUUGAAAGAGAGGAUAACAACAAUCAGGAACGAGCAUGAUGUUCAACUGAAAGCAUUUAAGUGUCGGUACAAAGAUGAUUGCAAGAAGCUGCAAGACGGAUUAGAUCUUCAGAGAUCAAAAGAAGAGAGGCAAAGAGCUUUGUUGCAAAUGCAGUAGAGGGUUAUGAGUGAUAAAGCUCUAGAAGAGCAAGAAGUGAGCGCUAGGAAGGCUAGACCAGAAAUCAUUUUGAUCCACUGAAAUAUAUUACUUUAGUUUAUACUGUCUUAUAAAGAAACAUAAACGUAUACUGAUUUUGAGUACUUAAUCAUUAUCUUGCAGGAAUACUCUGAGAUUUCAUGAACAAUCGACAUUAAUUUGUCUCUUAAUUUUGUCUUUAGAACUGCAAAUAAGUUUCUGUUCAGCUCUGGAUAAUGGGUUUUAAAAACAGUACGUGUUUGAGGAAGGGUAAGAAGAUUUUGGAGGAGAGAUGGAUCAGUUUGAAACAUAACGCCAAGCUGAGUUUUUCGCUUCUUCAGAUUGGGGAAGAACAAAAGGUUUACAGGAGGUUUCAGAGAAGAGUGAGGAUUUAGAAAGGACGUCACCCUAUGGAUCUGCGUAACAUAGUUUUCAGGUCCUAAAGAAGAAAAAAAAUGAAGUAGGUGAGUUUGACAGUCUCAGAGAUUGAUGUGUUGUUCUGUAAUUUGCAAUGCAAACCAAUGAACUACUUACCAGGAACAAGUUGGUAAUUAGAGCAUUGUGGUGUCCACUGGGUAGCUUCCCAACACCCGCAAAAAGGUAGCAAAUUCCUGUUAGAUUAAAAAAAAACUAGAGCCUUGGUUACAUCCUA